Molecule: non-coding RNA, 216 nt
Organism: Pelobates cultripes (western spadefoot toad)
Lineage: Eukaryota; Metazoa; Chordata; Amphibia; Anura; Pelobatidae
Source: the annotation of a GenBank genome assembly
CCAUUUUCUACUUUCUCCCUAAGUUACAUAAAAAUCCAAUAACCCCUCCAGGCAGGCCAAUAAUCAGUGGCAUCAACUCUGUAUCUGCUCAUUUAUCUGAAUUUGUGGAUCAUCAUCUUCAAAAAUAUGCACAAGAAGCACCUUCUUAUUUGAAAGACACUGCACACAUUUUAAGAAUUUUGGAGAGUGUAACUUGGGAACCCGACUAUGUCUGGG